AUUCCACAGCAAAAAAGAUUUUUUUCACAUUUCUGACUGAACUAUCAUUUCAGUGUCAGAAAUAUGCAGCUCUGAAGGUUGAUUAAGGAGGAGGAGGAUACCUAAUGGAUUUCUACAUCUGAGUGCUUGCAACUUCUUCUUCAGAAGAAGAAAGUCAACAAAUCUAGCUGCAGAAUGGAUGCAAGUGAAUGAAUGAAUGGGAACUAGGAAGUGCAAGCAACCUAACAAGCAAUAUGAGUAUGGAUCAUGGAUGCAUGAUAACGGGUCCCACACUGCUUUCACUCUGAAACUAUCUAUGCAAAUGAUCAGGAUGGAUUGUAUGAUGAUUUAUCUACGUUGCCACAAAUCUGCUAAUGAAUAGACAUCUGCAUUGUUGCACAAAAGUAUGCAGUCUAUUCUAGUUAUGUAGGAAGAAUCUGAAGACAUUUCCAGGCAUGGUACCGGAGCAACUCCAAGACUAUUCUAAUCCUAGCACAGAAUUAUCAGGAAUUACUCAAGCUUGUCAGCAAAAAUGAAAGGUGAAGAAAGAACUCCUACUUUUAAAAUGAGAAAUUUGCAAGAAUGCUCUGUAGUUUUUUUCAUACAAGAAUAAAGAUUAGAAUUCA
Molecule: non-coding RNA, 605 nt
Organism: Pantherophis guttatus
Lineage: Eukaryota; Metazoa; Chordata; Lepidosauria; Squamata; Colubridae
Source: RefSeq, a predicted model, not a curated record